GCCCUGGUGGCUUAAUGGUUAAGCACUCAGCUGCUAACCGAAAGGCUGGUAGUUCAAACCCACCCAGCAGCU
This 72-nucleotide transfer RNA is filed under the name Loxodonta africana (African savanna elephant). It matches the Rfam family "tRNA". From Rfam's summary of the family: Transfer RNA (tRNA) molecules are approximately 80 nucleotides in length. Lineage: Eukaryota; Metazoa; Chordata; Mammalia; Proboscidea; Elephantidae. The record is from Rfam by way of RNAcentral.